CCGCUGAGCGGCUAAGUUAAAAUUUGUAAAAGAAGCGCGGGGGAGGAAAAAUUCAUUCCCACACUUAGACAUAUUUGGAGUAUCAUUGACUUCAGCUUGCCCUAACACUAUUCGACCAAACCUCCCUUUUCUCCUUCGUUCUCUGCCUCCGACAAAAACCAUCCUCCUCUUCGUUCUCCGUCUCCGACCACAACCCUCCUCCUCGUCUCCGUUCUCCGGCUACAAUCACAACCCUACCCUCCUCGUCCUCCUCCUUUUCCGCCUCGGACCAGCUCCUCUGCUCGAAGACGGUGAAGAGAAUCAGCCUCUUUGUUCUCCCCAUCCGACAAAAACCAUCCUCCUCUUCGUUCUCCGCCUCCGACCACAACCCUCCGCCUCGUCUUCGUUCUCCAGCUACAAUCACAACCCGACCCGCCUCGUCCUCCUCCUUUUCCGCCUCGGACCAGCUCCUCUACUCGAAGACGGUGAAGAGAAUCAGAAAUGGAGGCCGGGCUUUUGGAGAAAAUUUGAGCUUUUUGUCUUAGGAUUUGUGUUUCAUCUACCGAAGCUUUGUGGGCUGCAUUCGAGCUUUCUGGGCAUUCAUGUUCUGAGCUUUCUAGGCAUUCUCCAUAUCUGAGGAGACUUCGAACUGUGUUUUCUAGUCAUGAAGGUUUCUGUAGCUUGGAAGUUUUAAGCUUGGGCCAAGAAGCGAAAACAGUAACUACUCCUUAUGCUUGUUACUUCAUUUUAAUCAAUUCAUGGUCUCUGAUGUUGCAGUUGUUUGUGUCCCUCAGUCCAUCGAGUCCCUCACUCUAUUUCCCACUAUAAAUCAGACGCACAUCCCUUACAAUGGGGACUCCACCAUUUCAAUCAAGACCCCUUUCCCUCUGCUCUGGUGUCCUGUGAACCCAACUAAACGACACCCUCGCCAUGUCAAUUAACUCAUCAAACGCACACCCUUUUCUCUCCUGCAUUUUUAUUUUCCAUAAAAGGCAGAGGCAGCUUCACCAAACAGUUCUCACAUUCACAACCCAGAUUCAGUUGUUGUGAUUGAAAAAGGUUUUGCCUUUGAUCAGUGUUAUAGGUUGAGGUGAAAUCGAUUUGUUGACAACAUGUAUCUUCUGAGGAGAAAAGCUCAGAACCCUGUGGAGGAUGAUUCUGCACAGAAAGAGGCACAAAAAGAAGCUCAGAAAGAAGCAAAGGUGCAUAUAGAGGGGCUCAGGGUCAAGAAGAUGGAGAUAUAGUUGUGGGUUUCUCUCUGAAAAGUCUUCUGAGAUAAUGUUUUCUAUUCUGAAAAGGAAAUGCUCAUGGUCUAUGAUAUCGGCGAUUGCUUCUAUUGUGGGAUUGGUUUCACUAAUGUUGGCUUCAAAAGUUCAUCUGUUCUUCUUUCCAUUAGUUCCUUCUUUCGAGUACUUUAGUCAAACUCAUAACUCUUGUGUCCCAAUCAAUGCUUCCACUGAAGCAAUUACGGAUCAUUUUAGGGGAAAUUUAGAACCUCCUAUUGACUUAGAAAAUCAUUUUCCAGCUGACUUGCACAAGGCAGUUGUUUUUCAUGGAGCACCAUGGAAGGCAGAGAUUGGCCGGUGGCUUGCUGGUUGUGGCUCAAUUUCUAAUAAAGUCAACAUUGUGGAGUUAAUAGGUGGGAGUGGCUGCAAAAAUGACUGCAGUGGUCGAGGUUUUUGUAAUCGUGAAUUGGGACAAUGUCGGUGCUUUCAUGGAUAUAGUGGUCAGUAUAAUUUCAUCUUCUUUCUUUCGGUGUAAUUAAAUUAAUACAAAACUUCAAAUAAUUAGGAGCAAUCAGAAGUGGGUAUGAUGCCCAAUUAGUCAU
Molecule: RNA transcript, 1807 nt
Organism: Rosa rugosa (rugosa rose)
Lineage: Eukaryota; Viridiplantae; Streptophyta; Magnoliopsida; Rosales; Rosaceae
Exons: 6
Source: RefSeq, a predicted model, not a curated record